AUGAUGAUGACGAGCAGCUCGUCGUCCUCCUCGAACCCGACGGUGACCCGGCCCACGUCGGCGCCGUCCGGCACGUCGAACACACGGCAGAAACCCUCCACCGCCCGCCGGUGCGCCACCCGCAGCCGCGUCCCGGCGCGCGCCGCCUCCACAGCGAGCCCGGCACCGUCCUUCCGCGCGCCCACGUCGACGCGGAUCUCCCUGCCGCCGUCGCCGACGCGGACCUCGAUCGCAUCCUUGUCAUACCCUGCGCGCACGGCACGAACACGCAAGAACGUAACCAACUCAUCCGUGCUCAAGAAAGAACGGUCGGUGCGCCGCAACGGCGAGGAUGCUUAG
RNAcentral lists this ribosomal RNA (339 nucleotides) under Triticum aestivum (bread wheat). RNAcentral describes it as "partial small subunit ribosomal RNA". Lineage: Eukaryota; Viridiplantae; Streptophyta; Magnoliopsida; Poales; Poaceae. The record is from RNAcentral.